AGUGAACGCUGGCGGUAGGCCUAACACAUGCAAGUCGAACGGCAGCACAGUAAGAGCUUGCUCUUACGGGUGGCGAGUGGCGGACGGGUGAGGAAUACAUCGGAAUCUACUUUUUCGUGGGGGAUAACGUAGGGAAACUUACGCUAAUACCGCAUACGACCUACGGGUGAAAGCAGGGGAUCUUCGGACCUUGCGCGAUUGAAUGAGCCGAUGUCGGAUUAGCUAGUUGGCGGGGUAAAGGCCCACCAAGGCGACGAUCCGUAGCUGGUCUGAGAGGAUGAUCAGCCACACUGGAACUGAGACACGGUCCAGACUCCUACGGGAGGCAGCAGCGGGGAAUAUUGGACAAAGGGCGCAAGCCUGAUCCAGCCAUACCGCGUGGGUGAAGAAGGCCUUCGGGUUGUAAAGCCCUUUUGUUGGGAAAGAAAAGCAGCAGGUUAAUACCCCGCUGUUCUGACGGUACCCAAAGAAUAAGCACCGGCUAACUUCGUG
This 492-nucleotide ribosomal RNA is filed under the name uncultured bacterium. Its description in RNAcentral is "partial 16S ribosomal RNA". It matches the Rfam family "Bacterial small subunit ribosomal RNA", at positions 29 to 507 of the family's 1533-position model. The record is from RNAcentral.